Molecule: small nuclear RNA, 158 nt
Organism: Cricetulus griseus (Chinese hamster)
Lineage: Eukaryota; Metazoa; Chordata; Mammalia; Rodentia; Cricetidae
Gene: U1
Rfam family: U1 spliceosomal RNA
About the family: U1 is a small nuclear RNA (snRNA) component of the spliceosome (involved in pre-mRNA splicing). Its 5' end forms complementary base pairs with the 5' splice junction, thus defining the 5' donor site of an intron.
Source: Ensembl
AUACUUACCUGGAAUGGGUGGUACUAUGAUCAUGAAGGUGUUUUCCCAGGGCUUAUCAAUUGCAUUCCCAAUGUUCUGACCCAUGUGAUUUCCCUAAAUGCAGCAAACUUGACUGCAUAAUUAGUGGUAGUGGGGGAAUGCCUUUGAGCUCUCCCCUA